Molecule: unclassified non-coding RNA, 164 nt
Filed under: uncultured Herpotrichiellaceae
Lineage: Eukaryota; Fungi; Ascomycota; Eurotiomycetes; Chaetothyriales; Herpotrichiellaceae
Description: sequence contains ITS2
Source: RNAcentral
UCAACCAUCAAGCCUGGCUUGUCAUUGGAUCCUUUUUGCAGCUGAAAUAUGCGGCAGGUCCGAAAGAUAAUGACGGCGUCGUGUUUGACCCUAGAUGCAACGAGCUUUUUUAUAGCACGCAUUGAAGUGGUCGGCCGACCCGGUCUUUAACCAUCAUUUUCUAA